CUCAAAUUCACAAUAACGCUGAAGAUUGUUGGCAGCGUCUGGACAGGUGAGCGUCUCAUAAUCAUCUUUUGCAUAAUGGCAACGAAAAUGCAAAAACAAUACAUGUCUUUUGAAGAGGUGACACCAACAGCGAAACAUAUUAGUUUUGUGUGCAGGUCUAUGCAAGGUAUAGGAGUAGAAAAGGUGCCAGGAAUCGGUACAGUGACAAAAACCAGUCUUGCUCGGAAAGGAAUUACUAAUGCACAACAGCUUUUCGGCCAAUGUUUAGUACGUGAUUUGGACAGAAAAAAAUGCAAAACAUAUUUUCAGUCAUUUGGAAUGAACGAUGGAUUACAGACUGAUGCAUUCAAUGCAUUCAAAGAAUGGGCUGACCAACAUCUAUGAAGACAUUUCACGAACUAUUUGACUUAAAUAAUCUACAUAUUUGAAUGUUCCACGAACCGUUUAAAUUUCUACAUUUUUUACUAUAAAUUGUUAUAUUUAACAUCAGGAAUUCGAGAAUGUUUGAAAUUAUGUAUCUCCCAAACCAGGAACCAAUUUAAUGCAUGGUAGCCUUCUCAGUGUUAUAUUAAUUUUUUUUACAAAAAUCGCAUUUUAAGACCUGUGGUUAAAAUGUUCGGGAUUUCCCUUUUUCCAAUGGGUGUGAACAACAGGAAAGGUGCGAAAAGAAAUGUAAGCGCAAAAAUGAAAUUUAUAGUACAAUCCUUGAAAUGUGUAAAUUGACCAAAUUGAACGUGUAUGGUGUAUGGGGAACAGUGUAUGGUGCAUGAGAAAUGCUGUAUGGUUUUUAUAUUUUUCUAUUUUAGAAAAAAAAACGUAGUUAAAUUUGUUAAGUCCUCCGAAACACGUUACAUUGCGGGUAAUUAUGAAUAGUGCCACUCUUCUUUGAUUUAAAUGUGAAAUUGGCAAGAGAAAUUUUGAGUGGUCAGUUGUAUUGGGAAUGGUCCAUGAUUGAAUGUACAGUGGUGUAUUGUGCAAGUGGAAAGUUUACACCUUUCAAUGACAGAACAAGAAUAUACAUUGAUACCUUAAAUGACAAGAUUUGUUUUUGUAAGUACCUUUUUGCUAUUACCCACUCCUAGAAGGGGAAAAGGCAAAGAAAGGAUAUUUUGAAAUUUAAUUUAAAAAUAACUAUAGAUAUAGGAAGAUGUGGUGUGAGUGCCAAUGAGACAACUCUCCAUCCAAAUAACAAUUUAAAAAUUAAACCAUUAUAGGUUAA
Long non-coding RNA from Mytilus trossulus (common blue mussel), 1219 nucleotides. RefSeq lists it as uncharacterized. NCBI's taxonomy places the organism in Eukaryota, Metazoa, Mollusca, Bivalvia, Mytilida, Mytilidae. The transcript is spliced from 3 exons. The record is from RefSeq and is a predicted model, not a curated record.